AUGAUUUGUCUCUGAACUAAGGAUAGGGCUGCGGUGGAUUAGGUUGUUGGCGGUGUUAUGGACCACCAAGCCUUUGAUCCAUAAGGGCUCUUAGCGGAGGGGCCCUGAGAGGGAAUCUGAGACACUAUUCCCAGCCCUACGGGGUGCAGCAGUUAGGAAUAAUCUACAAUGCGCGCAAGCGUGAUAGUUUGAACCAGAGUGCGUUCCUAUUGGAAUGCUUUUGCCGAAUGUAAAAAGUUCGGCGAAUAAGGACUGGGUAAGACAGGUGCCAGCCGCCGCGGUAAUACCUGCGGUCCAAGUCGUAACCACAAUUAUUGGGUCUAAAACAUCCGUAGCUUGUCUUGUAAGUUCCUUGUGAAAUAUUAUGUCUUAAGCAUAAUGCGCGCAAGGAGUACUGCAAGACUAGAGAGUGGGAGACGUGAAGAGUAUGUCUGAAGUAGCGGUAAAAUGUUUUAAUCUCAGGCAGACUAACAAUAGCGAAGGCACUUCACGAGAACACUUCUGACAGUGAGGGAUGAAGGCUAGGGUCGCGAAAGGGAUUAGAUACCCCUGUAGUCCUAGCAGUAAACACUGCACACUAAACAUCGGUUCCUCCUCGAGAGGCAUCGGUGCUGUAGGGAAGCCGAAGAGUGUGCUACCUGGGAAGUAUGGUCGCAAGGCUGAAACUUAAAGGAAUAGGCGGGGAGAUACUACAACGGGUGACGUGUGCGGUUCAAUCAGAUUCUACACCGUGAACCUCACCAGGAGCGACAGCAGAAUGAAGGUCAGUCUGAAGGGCUUACCUGACACGCUGAGCGGAGCUACAUAGCCGACGUCAGCCUGUGCCGUGAGGUGACCUGUUAAAUCAGGUAACAGGCAAGACCCAUAUGCAUAUUUACAAUAGGACUAUAUGCAGAUUGCCCGGGUAACUGGGAUGAAAGUGUGGGCUACGUUAGGUGGCACAGCCCUAACCCCCUGGGCGACACGCGCGCGUCAAUGGCGAAUACAACGGGAUGCAACUCUGAGAGGAGAAGCGAAUCUCUUAAAGUUCGUCUCAGUCCAGAUUGAGGUUUGCAACUCAACCUCAUGACGCUGGAAUCCGUAGUAAUCGUUUGUUAGCAACGAACGGUGAAUACGUCACUGUCUCUUGCACUCACUGCCCGUCAAACCAACCGAGUUUAGUUAUGGUGAAACCUUCGGGGAGAACCUUG
This 1190-nucleotide ribosomal RNA is filed under the name uncultured archaeon. RNAcentral's name for it is "partial 16S ribosomal RNA". It matches the Rfam family "Archaeal small subunit ribosomal RNA", at positions 187 to 1399 of the family's 1478-position model. The record is from RNAcentral.